GCCGAGGUAGCCAAGCCCGGACAACGGCGCCGGUCUUGAAAACCGGUGGUACCUGUACCUCGGGAGUUCGAAUCUCCCCCUCGGCG
Molecule: transfer RNA, 86 nt
Filed under: Methanobacteriota archaeon
Lineage: Archaea; Methanobacteriati; Methanobacteriota
Description: Euryarchaeota archaeon (anaerobic digester metagenome) tRNA-Ser
Rfam family: tRNA
About the family: Transfer RNA (tRNA) molecules are approximately 80 nucleotides in length.
Source: RNAcentral